AUUUUUAAAAAUUAAAAGCAAAAGAUGUGGGACAAAAAGAAGCCCAACUGCCCUCUGCUACAAUAAAGAUGCAACAGCCCGGCCCUAUUCCAGAUAAAGAAAGACUUUAAAGAGCAUUGGAAAUCCUCAAGUAGAUCACCAAUAAAAGUAGUAUUCUAACUGUUUUAAUCUAAACUAAAAUCAGAUCUCCAUAUUUCUGGCUUUGUUUUUAACCUUAGCUGUUCUACUACUUGAAAAAUUCUGUCUUCCUAAUUCCUUCACCUUGAACAAGUAAUUAAUGCACAUGGAGAAAACAGCCCAGAACCAAGAAGCAAGAGCCAAUGGCCGUCUGACUCUAACGAGUCAGAAAAAAACCGUAUGAAAUAAGCCAACCAAUGAGGAAGCACAGGGAGGACAAGGGAGCAAAAUGCUGCAUGUCUGGCAAUCUCAGUUCAAAGCCCCUAUGGAAACUCGUUAUAAAAAUUUCAAAGGUGUAAGUCAUACAAAUACGAACAGCUUGACCAAGUCACAUGUUUUUAUUUUCUUCCUAAUUUCAGGCAUUCUUCUCACAAACUAGGAGUCCAUCUUUUCUCCCUCAAGUACUCAUUUUAUCUGAUUCAAGAAAACCUGCAAUUUCUAUCUUUAAGACAACCAAUUUGGUCAGCAUUUCAAGAAAGAGCAGUUAUGCUACCGAACAACACACUUCAGGGAUGCAGGGUAUGGAACCAGCUACAGAGUCCACAGGUCUCAGUGCUGAAU
This is a long non-coding RNA of Phyllostomus discolor (pale spear-nosed bat), 738 nucleotides long. RefSeq lists it as uncharacterized. NCBI's taxonomy places the organism in Eukaryota, Metazoa, Chordata, Mammalia, Chiroptera, Phyllostomidae. The transcript has 2 exons. The record is from RefSeq and is a predicted model, not a curated record.